AACGAACGCUGGCGGCAUGCCUAACACAUGCAAGUCGAACGAGACCUUCGGGUCUAGUGGCGCACGGGUGCGUAACGCGUGGGAACCUGCCCUUAGGUUCGGAAUAACUCCCCGAAAGGGGUGCUAAUACCGGAUAAUGUCUUCGGACCAAAGAUUUAUCGCCUUUGGAUGGGCCCGCGUUGGAUUAGCUAGUUGGUAGGGUAAAAGCCUACCAAGGCGACGAUCCAUAGCUGGUCUGAGAGGAUGAUCAGCCACACUGGGACUGAGACACGACCCAGACUGCUACGGGAGGCAGCAGAGGGUAAUAUAGGACAAUGGGCGAAAGCCUGAUCCAGCCAUGCCGGGUGGGUGAUGGAGGCCUUAGGGUUGUAAAGCUCUUUUACCCGAGAUGAUAAUGACAGUACCGGGAGAAUAAGCUCCGGCUAACUCCGUG
RNAcentral lists this ribosomal RNA (433 nucleotides) under uncultured bacterium. RNAcentral describes it as "partial 16S ribosomal RNA". It matches the Rfam family "Bacterial small subunit ribosomal RNA", at positions 29 to 507 of the family's 1533-position model. The record is from RNAcentral.